RNAcentral lists this transfer RNA (73 nucleotides) under Tannerella sp. RNAcentral's name for it is "tRNA-Lys". It matches the Rfam family "tRNA". Rfam says of the family: Transfer RNA (tRNA) molecules are approximately 80 nucleotides in length. Their secondary structure includes four short double-helical elements and three loops (D, anti-codon, and T loops). The record is from RNAcentral. Lineage: Bacteria; Pseudomonadati; Bacteroidota; Bacteroidia; Bacteroidales; Tannerellaceae.
GAUUUGCUAGCUCAGUCGGCAGAGCACAUCCCUUUUAAGGAUGGGGUCCUGGGUUCGAAUCCCAGGCAAAUCA